GCAUCUCUACAUAUUCCAAAUACCAACACAACCAAGGGAUGGUCAGUUCCCGAUUUACCUAGAAUCCCUGGGUCUGACCAUCAUAGAUACAUCAUCAUACAUAUAUAUGCCUUGUUUCCCCAAUGUGCCGGGAUCAUAUGUGCAGGGUUAACGUCUUGUACCAAGUAACCAAGUUUCGGUUGGUGCUGGUUGUACAGUAGCAUGAGGCCCAGCCUUGUGAGGGCUGUGACUGACUCGAAAUUGC
RNAcentral lists this long non-coding RNA (244 nucleotides) under Pelobates cultripes (western spadefoot toad). Lineage: Eukaryota; Metazoa; Chordata; Amphibia; Anura; Pelobatidae. The record is from RNAcentral.